AGUGAACGCUGGCGGUAGGCCUAACACAUGCAAGUCGAACGGCAGCACAGUAAGAGCUUGCUCUUACGGGUGGCGAGUGGCGGACGGGUGAGGAAUACAUCGGAAUCUACUUUUUCGUGGGGGAUAACGUAGGGAAACUUACGCUAAUACCGCAUACGACCUACGGGUGAAAGCAGGGGAUCUUCGGACCUUGCGCGAUUGAAUGAGCCGAUGUCAGAUUAGCUAGUUGGCGGGUAAAGGCCCACCAAGGCGACGAUCCGUAGCUGGUCUGAGAGGAUGAUCAGCCACACUGGAACUGAGACACGGUCCAGACUCCUACGGGAGGCAGCAGUGGGGAAUAUUGGACAAUGGGCGCAAGCCUGAUCCAGCCAUACCGCGUGGGUGAAGAAGGCCUUCGGGUUGUAAAGCCCUUUUGUUGGGAAAGAAAAGCAGCAGGUUAAUACCCCGCUGUUCCGACGGUACCCAAAGAAUAAGCACCGGCUAACUUCGUG
Molecule: ribosomal RNA, 491 nt
Filed under: uncultured bacterium
Lineage: Bacteria
Description: partial 16S ribosomal RNA
Rfam family: Bacterial small subunit ribosomal RNA
Source: RNAcentral